AGCUUGCUAUCAGGCGUCGAGCGGCGGACGGGUGAGUAAUACUUAGGAAUCUACCUAGUAGUGGGGGAUAGCACGGGGAAACUCGUAUUAAUACCGCAUACGACCUACGGGAGAAAGGGGGCAGUUUACUGCUCUCGCUAUUAGAUGAGCCUAAGUCGGAUUAGCUAGAUGGUGGGGUAAAGGCCUACCAUGGCGACGAUCUGUAGCUGGUCUGAGAGGAUGAUCAGCCACACCGGGACUGAGACACGGCCCGGACUCCUACGGGAGGCAGCAGUGGGGAAUAUUGGACAAUGGGGGAAACCCUGAUCCAGCCAUGCCGCGUGUGUGAAGAAGGCCUUUUGGUUGUAAAGCACUUUAAGCAGUGAAGAAGACUCCGUGGUUAAUACCCACGGACGAUGACAUUAGCUGCAGAAUAAGCACCGGCUAACUCUGUGCCAGCAGCCGCGGUAAUACAGAGGGUGCAAGCGUUAAUCGGAAUUACUGGGCGUAAAGGGAGCGUAGGUGGCUCGAUAAGUCAGAUGUGAAAUCCCCGGGCUCAACCUGGGAACUGCAUCUGAUACUGUUGAGCUAGAGUAUGUGAGAGGAAGGUAGAAUUCCAGGUGUAGCGGUGAAAUGCGUAGAGAUCUGGAGGAAUACCGAUG
Molecule: ribosomal RNA, 641 nt
Filed under: Psychrobacter sp. Air230
Lineage: Bacteria; Pseudomonadati; Pseudomonadota; Gammaproteobacteria; Moraxellales; Moraxellaceae
Description: bacterial SSU rRNA
Rfam family: Bacterial small subunit ribosomal RNA
Source: RNAcentral